This 198-nucleotide ribosomal RNA is filed under the name uncultured bacterium. RNAcentral's name for it is "partial 16S ribosomal RNA". It matches the Rfam family "Bacterial small subunit ribosomal RNA", at positions 326 to 539 of the family's 1533-position model. The record is from RNAcentral.
ACGCUCGACACCUACGGUAGGCAGCAGUGGGGAAUAUUGCACAAUGGAGGAAACUCUGAUGCAGCGAUGCCGCGUGAGGGAAGAAGGUUUUCGGAUUGUAAACCUCUGUCUUUGGGGACGAUAAUGACGGUACCCAAGGAGGAAGCUCCGGCUAACUACGUGCUAGCAGCCGCGGUAAUCUGAGCGGGCUGGCAAGGC